Oncorhynchus keta (chum salmon) is the source of this 370-nucleotide long non-coding RNA. RefSeq lists it as uncharacterized. The transcript is spliced from 3 exons. Lineage: Eukaryota; Metazoa; Chordata; Actinopteri; Salmoniformes; Salmonidae. The record is from RefSeq and is a predicted model, not a curated record.
GUGUAUUGAUAUAGUAUAGUUUUAUAGUAUUGUGUAGUUGUACUCACCACCUCCAGUUUGCUCUUGGGAUCUCUACAGAUGUAGUAGUGUAUUGAUAUGGUAUAGUAGUGUAGUAUUGUGUAGUAGUAUAGUACUGUAUAGUAGUACUCACCACCUCCAGUUUGCUCUUGGGAACUCUACAGAUGCAGAGUGUAUUGAUAUGGUAUAGUAGUGUAGUAGUACUAUAGUAUAGUGUAGUAGUACUAUAGUACUCACCACCUCCAGUUUGCUCUUGGGAACUCUACAGAUGUAGAGUGUAUUGAUAUGGUAUAGUAGUGUAGUAGUACUAUAGUAUUGUGUAGUAGUACUAUAGUACUCACCACCUCCAGUU